AAAUAAACCCGAUGGGAACGAAUGCCGAUUUUUCUUCGGCAGCAGGGACAGCGGGGCUAAAG
RNAcentral lists this small RNA (62 nucleotides) under Pedobacter alluvionis. Its description in RNAcentral is "Flavo-1 RNA". The record is from RNAcentral. Lineage: Bacteria; Pseudomonadati; Bacteroidota; Sphingobacteriia; Sphingobacteriales; Sphingobacteriaceae.